This 407-nucleotide ribosomal RNA is filed under the name uncultured bacterium. Its description in RNAcentral is "partial 16S ribosomal RNA". It matches the Rfam family "Bacterial small subunit ribosomal RNA", at positions 28 to 526 of the family's 1533-position model. The record is from RNAcentral.
GACGAACGCUGGCGGCGUGCCUAAUACAUGCAAGUAGGACGCAGUUGCGAACGGGUGAGUAACGCGUAGGUAACUACCUAGUAGAGGGGGAUAACUAUUGGAAACGAUAGCUAAUACCGCAUACUAGUAGAUGGAACUGCGUUGUAUUAGCUAGUAGGUAGGGUACUGGGCUACCUAGGCAACGAUACAUAGCCGGCCUGAGAAGGUGAACGGCCACAAUGGGACUGAGGAACGGCCCAGAAUCCUACGGGAGGCAGCAGUAGGGGAACUUCGGCAAAUGGGGGAACCCUGACCGAGCAACGCCGCCUGAGUGGAGGAGGUUUUCGGAUCGUAAAGCUAUGUUGUGAAGGAAGCGUUACUUAACCAGAAAGGAACGGCUAACUACGUGCCAGCAGCCGCGGUAAUAC